GACGCAACAUCUAAAUCAUAUAUGAACUCGAUGCGGUUCAAAAUAAAAAGUAGUGGAUGAUGUCAAAAGUUUUUAAAAAAGGCCAACUGGUCCCUUCCUGCCACGAUUUCUCAAAACGGAUGCGUCUUUUACUGUGUGGUCAAAGGCAAAUAUUUAGAAACAAGGAUCUUAUGACGUUCAAGGGCGUUUCACUUUUCUCGUCUUCCUUUCGCUCGGAUCGCCUUCCAUAACUUUGACAACUGUGGCCAUUCUAGACGUCAAAAGUCUUUGGGUAGUCGUCGCAAACGCAGCACAAUUUGUUCGUAGUCAAAAAGAUGCGUCUCUUCAGUCUGUUCUUCACGUUGUUGAUUCUUUUGGCGGCUUGCACUGGUUCGGCGAUUAAGAAAAACGUUUUAGACAAAAUUCCAGGUGCUGGAACUGACGAAAUGCAAAUCGGAGUUGCACCGGAUCGCAAAUGUCCUCCGCCAAAGCAAAUGGAUCCACAGGGAAACUGUCGCCAACCUUGGGGCCGCUGAAAAUGUUGAGUUUUGAAUUUCAAAAUGGAUUGGAUGACAAUAUUGGAGUCGCUUCACCUACUACCCAGUUAUGUUUACCGAGCACUGAAUACUAUCCAAUAUUCUAACCCCAUACUCUUACUCGUCGGAAUAUUGUCUGAAAUAUAACGAAAGUUUAUUA
Molecule: long non-coding RNA, 675 nt
Organism: Daphnia pulex (common water flea)
Lineage: Eukaryota; Metazoa; Arthropoda; Branchiopoda; Diplostraca; Daphniidae
Exons: 2
Source: RefSeq, a predicted model, not a curated record